GACGAACGCUGGCGGCGUGCCUAAUACAUGCAAGUCGAGCGGACUUGAAGGAGUGCUUGCACUCCUGAGAGUUAGCGGCGGACGGGUGAGUAACACGUAGGCAACCUGCCCUCAAGACUGGGAUAACUACCGGAAACGGUAGCUAAUACCGGAUAAUUUAUUACAUAGCAUUAUGUGAUAAUGAAAGACGGAGCAAUCUGUCACUUGGGGAUGGGCCUGCGGCGCAUUAGCUAGUUGGUGGGGUAACGGCCCACCAAGGCGACGAUGCGUAGCCGACCUGAGAGGGUGAACGGCCACACUGGGACUGAGACACGGCCCAGACUCCUACGGGAGGCAGCAGUAGGGAAUCUUCCGCAAUGGGCGAAAGCCUGACGGAGCAACGCCGCGUGAGUGAUGAAGGUUUUCGGAUCGUAAAGCUCUGUUGCCAAGGAAGAACGUCUCAUAGAGUAACUGCUAUGAGAGUGACGGUACUUGAGAAGAAAGCCCCGGCUAACUACGU
Molecule: ribosomal RNA, 499 nt
Filed under: uncultured bacterium
Lineage: Bacteria
Description: partial 16S ribosomal RNA
Rfam family: Bacterial small subunit ribosomal RNA
Source: RNAcentral